GCAGAGCCUACCGGUUGACGUCUCAAUCGCGUUGUGCUUGUUUAGGCCAGCAGAGGGGGCUGCUCGCUAUAUCAGCUUCAUUCACUCUUCUUCUUCUACUAACUACUUGCUCGCGAUAGUUUUAGAGAAAACUGCUGUGGAAAACUCGACCAGAAGCUAGCAAGUGUCAAGUGAAUCCACAACAUUACCAGAAACGUAUUUUCAAGUCAGAAAUGUAAUAUAUUUAGAAAUGUUCAUGGAUAACAUUAGCAGUGGAGAGGAGGAAGACUGGAAAGGAAGAAGAGUGAAGGAGACAGAGGAGGAAAGGCCAUGCUUAUUGUGAAGACAAACUUCAACCUCCCCUGCCAGGAGUUCAUGGAGAAGCUGGCCAAAGACAGAGCAAUCCUGAAGAAGAUACAUUCUUCUGAGAAAUAUACAGAUUAGGACCAUGGAAUGGCUGUUCAGAUCGGACAGUUAUGUCUUGUCUGUAGCGUUUCUGUAAUAUAUUUGUUUUCUCUGUCUAUCACAGUGUGCCUGUUAGACUAAAUACAUGAAACUGGAAUUGUCACCCUUUUUUAUUUCAUAGAUAAUAUAACAUUGGAUAUUUUAAUUAUAUUGUAAUGACCUGACUAGAUCAUAAAGGAACAAUUGUCCAGACAGAGGAUUGAGUUUACGAAUUGA
This is a long non-coding RNA of Salvelinus namaycush (lake trout), 660 nucleotides long. RefSeq lists it as uncharacterized. NCBI's taxonomy places the organism in Eukaryota, Metazoa, Chordata, Actinopteri, Salmoniformes, Salmonidae. The transcript is spliced from 4 exons. The record is from RefSeq and is a predicted model, not a curated record.